GAUGAACGCUGGCGGCGUGCCUAAUACAUGCAAGUCGAGCGAACGGACGAGAAGCUUGCUUUUCUGAUGUUAGCGGCGGACGGGUGAGUAACACGUGGAUAACCUACCUAUAAGACUGGGAUAACUUCGGGAAACCGGAGCUAAUACCGGAUAAUAUUUCGAACCGCAUGGUCCAAAAGUGAAAGACGGUCUUGCUGUCACUUAUAGAUGGAUCCGCGCUGCAUUAGCUAGUUGGUAAGGUAACGGCUUACCAAGGCAACGAUGCAUAGCCGACCUGAGAGGGUGAUCGGCCACACUGGAACUGAGACACGGUCCAGACUCCUACGGGAGGCAGCAGUAGGGAAUCUUCCGCAAUGGGCGAAAGCCUGACGGAGCAACGCCGCGUGAGUGAUGAAGGUCUUCGGAUCGUAAAACUCUGUUAUUAGGGAAGAACAUAUGUGUAAGUAACUGUGCACAUCUUGACGGUACCUAAUCAGAAAGCCACGGCUAACUACGUG
Molecule: ribosomal RNA, 497 nt
Filed under: uncultured bacterium
Lineage: Bacteria
Description: partial 16S ribosomal RNA
Rfam family: Bacterial small subunit ribosomal RNA
Source: RNAcentral